Molecule: unclassified non-coding RNA, 2323 nt
Filed under: Hevea brasiliensis (rubber tree)
Lineage: Eukaryota; Viridiplantae; Streptophyta; Magnoliopsida; Malpighiales; Euphorbiaceae
Source: RNAcentral
ACCCAACAUUCCGUUCAUAGAUGUUAAUUUUUAUAAUGCAGCCAGGGUCAAAACUUUCAAAAAGAAUAUAUUCAUACUGAAUGGGAACUUUAGAUUCUCUGUCUAACAAUUGAUGGGUACCAAAUCCUUUUCAACUUCCUAUUUUUUGUAGAAAAAAUUUAGAAACAUCAGUUAAAAACUUGGAAUGGCCUUUGCCCGUAUGAACUGUUUGAGGAUGGCUUUCUCUUCAUCAAUUCGUUUCUUCUCCUGCUGGUCCUUGGGCUUGACUUUUCUUUUCUCUUCCAAUAUCCACUUGAAAAGCUCACGCUGCUGAUCUUCAGGUAUGGUCUGCUUUGCUUUUAGAACAGCUGGAGCAGGGGACGGAGUCUCAGGAACUGAGAGAGUAGUUGAAUCCAAGAAAUCUUCCUCUGGGGCUUUGCUUUCUUCCACAUCCUUUUUUGCAGUUUUCCUUUCUUCUAUGUUCAAAUUUUUCUUCCUUGCCUUUGCAAACAUAUAAGCUGCAAGUAGUUCAAAAGAGUCACAGUAUUCUUAUUUCCGUUUUUUGUGAUUAGCAUAUUAUCUGUCAAGUUAUUGGGUCUGAGACACUUUAAAUGUCGAGCUGGAUCAUUGACUCAGAUUAUCCAAAACUAUAUGAGAAAAUUUUAACUAUGCAGCUGACCGAAAUUUUGACACAUGAAUGGCCACAAUAUUUAAAAUUUAAAUAUCACAAAAUUUAAUUGCAGAUUUGAACCAUCAUAUUCGACUCCAGCAAUGAUGAAGAUGAAAAACAAAAAAAAUGAAAAAAACUGAAGAUUGCCCUUCAAUGAUGACCCAAGUACCCAACUAAUAAAGAACCUCUAGUUCUGACUCAAUACAUUGCAGCCCGCAUCUGUUAGAGGAGUAAAAAGAAGCAAAUAAACUUGGUUUUGGCACAGAUGGCACAUAUUGUGAACCACUGAUGAACUUCAAUGAUGCCAACUCUACCAUAAUGAACACGUCAACCUCCAAGUAUGACUGAAUUCCUUUUACUCAUUAACUUACCCCUUCAAUCAUUGAGCAGCAUACUGCUCCAAUCAGAAGAGGGGAAAAAGUGCUAUAAAUAAUGGGAACAUUAAAAAGUUAAUCAUCAGGUGCAAAUAGGUGAAAGCGCAUGGCAGCUAUGCACUUCUAUCUGAGAAAUGUGAGAUCGAUUGCAUACUUUUCUUGGUAAAGGUGAUUAAAAGCUCAAUAUCAAAUUAUCAAUAGCCUAAAAACAAGUGGAGCUGAACUCAAUGUUGGCAGUAGACAACAGUCUUUAUUCCAGAAAGCCAACAACAGAACAGAUUUUGGGCAAUCCUUAGAUCAUGGUUUGAUAGACAUAAUUAAAGUAGGACUCCCAUGAUUAAGUACAAACUUCAUCAAAUUCAGAUCCUAAAGUCACAUUUCCAAGGUUCAUAAAAAAUCAUAAUCAAGGCAACAGGUGUAACAACUAAGGCCAAAACCAAGUUUCCAACUGUCCCCAUUAGUAUUGCCCUUUCAGAAAAGAUUCAUUUAAAUACCUGGAAUUCAGGUAGUGUAAUCUUUUAUUAACCUAACCCAAUAAAUGCAUUUCCUAAACUUCAGUAUAUGCAAACUACCACUUCUAUGCUUACAUAGAAACAAACAAAGCAAAAUAGACGCCAAACAAGUAGCAUUCAAGAAAAAUCUACGCUAAAGUAUUAAAAAGGAAAACUAAAAAUCAUUGCACUCUAACAAACAUUAUAUCCUUGAUCCCCAAUUAACCUCCAAGUAAGCAUUCGUCCGAAUCCACAUAUCAAACAUAUUAUCGACAAAACUAAAAACCAAAGAAUAAUUUACAAUUAACUAAAAGAAACAAGAUAGACGGUAAUGAAAACCAAACAAAAAUGAAAGAAAACGAAACAGGAAAAGGGUGGGGCUGACCUCCAAGAGCGAGAUUAGAGAUCAAUAGAAUACGCCAAAUAGGCUUGUAACGCUUAAUUAGCGAUUCCUUUGGAGACAAAUUUGGGUAUGGAGAUUCAGCAGCUUCCAUUCUGAUCAAUGCUCUAAUGAUGAUUUGAUGAGGGUGCUGCUUCUUGCGGGCUUGCUUGGUUGCUCGCAGUUGCAGGUGUUACUGCUCGUAAAAGUAAUGCACUCUCGAUUGCGAAAGUGAACCAAGGAAGCUCCUUUGGCUGCUCCUCCCCUCCCUCCCUGGUUGGGUUGUGGAUUUUUGCUGCUUUUUGCUGAUUGGCUCCAACACCAUUAAUAAAUCAACUAAUUAACACAAACCCAAGUUGAUUAUAUCUUUUAAAUAAACUCAAGAAAAUUGUAGAAGUUCCAUAGGGUUGUUGUCUUUGGACCUUGCCUU